CUACGGAGGGUGCAAGCGUUAUCCGGAAUCAUUGGGUUUAAAGGGUCCGUAGGCGGGCUAAUAAGUCAGGGGUGAAAUCCCACAGCUUAACUGUGGAACUGCCCUUGAUACUGUUGGUCUUGAGUUACAGUGUAGUGGUUAGAAUGUGUAGUGUAGCGGUGAAAUGCAUAGAGAUUACACCGAAUACCGAUUGCGAAGGCAGAUAACUAACUGUAUACUGACGCUAAUGGACGAAAGCGUGGGGAGCGAACAGGAUUAGAAACCCCAGUAGUCC
Molecule: ribosomal RNA, 274 nt
Filed under: uncultured bacterium
Lineage: Bacteria
Description: partial 16S ribosomal RNA
Rfam family: Bacterial small subunit ribosomal RNA
Source: RNAcentral